Molecule: long non-coding RNA, 2863 nt
Organism: Hirundo rustica (Barn swallow)
Lineage: Eukaryota; Metazoa; Chordata; Aves; Passeriformes; Hirundinidae
Exons: 3
Source: RefSeq, a predicted model, not a curated record
GCUAAGUCAUCUCCAGCGUGUUCUUUCCAGACCAGCUGGUAAGGUGUGUGGUUCUGUGUUGCAGGCUAUGGCUGAGACUGUGCACCAGGUGACCCCAACUGACCAAAGGGAUAUUCCAGCCCAUAUGGCAUCAUGCUCAGUAUAGAAAAGGAGUCCAUGCUAUCCUUGAGGCAAGGAAACCUAGGCCUUGCUGUUGAGAGGUGACAGCCAUUGAUGAGUCCUGCAGGAGUGGGUUUUUGCUUAGCUGAGAGAAGUAUCAGAAAAGAGAAGAGGAGCUGCCACUAGGACAAAGAGAGUGCAGAGCUGAAUCAGGCACCCUGUGAUUGACUCAUCCCUCGUGGACAAAAGCCAAUGUUGGGAUUUUCCUGCUGUAUAGUGGGCUGUUCCAGUCAGAAAGAUGAGGGAGAAAGAUGACACAGCUUUUCAGAAACUCCCUAGGGAUGAGAACAACCCAAAAAUAUCUGACUGUACCAUACUUUCUAUUUAUUUCCCAAUCUUCAUUUUCAUACACUGUAAAGAGCAGUGAAAUAGUUAAUAGAUAGGUCUCAGUUCAAUAACUGCCACUAAAAACCUGACAACACAUUGACACAAGGAAGAUAUUUCACAGUGCUCAACACUAUUUGUUCAGAAUUUCUGUAAAUACAGGCACACAUCACCUUCUUCAUCUGGAAUUGUUUCAAUUUUCUUAAUAACUAGAGGAAUUAGGAACUUUAGCUAUAACUAAAUGGAGGUUCUGGAGGACAAAAUACCAACAUCAAACAAAACCAAUGUACCUUCCAACUCAUCUGAACUGAGCUUUUGGCAGAAGCAACAUAAAUUCCCUGUGAGAUUUUUCUUAUUUUAGUCUCAGUUUCUGAGACUGUACAAUUAUCAUAGCACACACCAAUGUGUCAGAUACAUCCUGUUGAAGAGGAAAGAACUGGAAGAUAACCAGGAUGAUUAAAAUCAGAAGAUCUACACAUAUUUCUUAUAGACACAGGAAAUAACAUUAUAAAAUUGAAGCCUUCAGUAUAUCAGUCACUCUGUAUCUCUGUUUACAUACCAAUGAAGUUUGAGGUAUGAGGCCUGCUGAUGACAUUUGUAGGAAGAAUCAAAGGAGUUAAGAAAACAGUUAAAAACCCCAUAUAAUUUCAACAUAUACCUUAGCAGUGGCCUUGCAUGGAAAGCAAAAAGAAGCUGUUAAACCUGCUUACCUGAACUUCUUUCAUUACUAGAUUACUCCUCCUGGUUUCCUCUAGAAAAUAAUAUUGGAGAACUAACAUUUCCUUGUAAGAGAAGCGAUUGUUUUGAAUUGAUGGUGAAAUCAACAGGAUGUGUACAGGACCUACUGCCCUCAAUGUCCCUAAAUGCUGCUUACUCGGACAAUUGUUCUAGGUUCAAUUUUGGCAAUCAGGCAUUAAAAAAAGAAUGUUGGCACUACAGCUGUUGUGGUGUUGUAUUCUGAACCAGCAGCUCCAAUUAGCUUUGGCAAGUAUUAAUGACAGGUACUUUAGCAUGAGGAUCCAUGCAACAAGAUUUCUUUUCUUGUAGCAGUUCUAUGCACAUAUUUCUAUGGUUUGUAUAGGAAAUUUCCCCACUGGUUAACAAAGGGGUUUUGUAUGUAUAUGUUAUAGGGACUGAAUAUGACACUGUUUUCUUGGCAAGGAUGACCAGCUUGUGGCUUUUGUAGAACUUCAUCACAAGGGACAUUCAUUCUGCAAUGAGUGCAAUGUAUACCGUAGUAUACACCACUAGCUGAAAAUAUAUACAGAAAAAAAAUACAUAUUCAAUAUCUUGUACUGUUAAAGCACAUAGCAACAAAUGAUAUGUGCACCCUCCUCGGUAAGCUUUGGCUGCAACUUAGGGGAAAAAAAAAGAAGGAACCUUCUACCUGGAAAAGUCUGUGUUACUAGAAAUAAGACAGCUCCAUUGUAUGGAGCCUGAAGGGUUUGCUAUUUGAAUAGACUACAAUGGUCACCUUAGUUAUGGCACUACCUUGCCCAGCACAUCAAUUUUCAUCUUAUAAAGAAAUACAUUUCUUCUGUAGGGGAAAUGGCAUGUUUCUGAUCUACUUGCACUGCCUGAAUGAUGUCAUAGAUGGCAUAGUGGAAAUUUUAUCCUUUAUGGUGACCAAGUGUGGCAAUAGGAGCCUUUGCACCAAUGGAGCUUUAGAUUCUUUAUCAGACAAGUCCUGACCCAUUUCAAUAUAAUUUCGCUGAAGAUAUCUUGUAUAAAGUCUAGCUUUUCUGCUUCUCUGUUUAGCAUUAAUUGAUGGCCAGGCCAACUCUGAUUCAUGGGUCAUAAAUACAUCUUUUAGAUGAACAUGCUUCUUUCAAAAACAUACACAGGAUCCAUGUUGGAGUCCAGGGCAUUCCUUUGGUUGCCCUGGAGGAUCAGAGACCUGGGCAGGGGGGUCUGGGACCCCAGCCCAGAGCCCAGAGCUCAGAGAGACACUGGAUUUGAUUUCGGUCUAUGGGAGAGGCUUCUUGCACUGCAAGAGGGUUUACAGGCCAUAAAAGUGUGAAAAAUAGUAGUUUAGUAUAUCACAUUGUGAAAAAACAGUGGGUUUGGGAUUUUUGGCAUUGAAGUGAAUGGGGCAAGAUGGAGAAUUUGGGGCGUUGUCUCCUUCUCCUUCCUUCUUGUUCCCUCACUCCAUUUCUGCAGUGACGUUGACACAAAGUAGUUAGUGAGGAUUGGGUCAGAGUAAAGAUGACCUUUUUAGUAAUAGUGAUAGACAUUGGUAAUAAAUAGUAAAUAGAGAAUACGUGGCAAUUAGUAUAAAAGAUAAGGACAGCCCAGAGACAGGAGGAGUCACCAGAUGUCCGAGCCGCGGCAAACAUCUUUUGGACACUGAGAAAAUUGUAAGAUAAGAACUAAUAAAUGA